GUUAGCUGCUGGAGAGGAGGAGGCUACAUGUCCUUCUUGUUCGUUGGUUAUUAAGGUAAUUUAUGAUAAAGAAACGUUUGCAAGCAAACAGGAAGAGCUUGUUAAAAGUGAGGAGAAAGAACUCGUGGCACAAAAAGCUUAAGAUAUCAGAGGGGAAAAAAGGACAAUCACCAUGGCAGGUCGUGGCAGAGGAAGAGGUAAACCUACUAUGUCAAUUAGUACAGAACAACUGGGUUUCUCUAAAGGUGAAGCAUUGCCACCACCGGUUUUACAACCUCCUCCAAAGUAUCCUCCCUUGGAAUACAAACCGCUACCUCUAAUCGUUACGACCGAAAUGAGUUAUUUAUUGGAGCUUAAAAGAGAGUUUGCAGAAUACACAAGAGAGUCACCGAACAAUGUUCUACCUGUUGUGAUUAAAAAAGAUAUCGAAAGGUAUUCGGACCGAUAUCAAGACUUAAUCACAGACAAAAGUAGUUACGAAACCAGGUACGAUUGGACUAGAAUGCCGGCAGAAUUGAAACCUCAGCCGCGAAAACGAAAAGGACAAAAAGUAGAUAAGUCUGAUAAAAAACAAAAGAAUAUCGACAUAGAAACAAAGUUGCAAGAGUUGGAGAAGAAGGAAAGUAUGCAGCAAAGCGACGCGGAAGAAGAAGAGAAAGAAGAGGAAGAAUCCGAAGAGAAGGAUGAGGAACACGCGGAAGACGAGGAAGAGGAAUUGGAUGAAGAGAUGGAUGAAGGAACCGAUUACGUGAAUAAUUAUUUCGAUAACGGAGAAGGUUAUGACGAUGAAGACGAUAAUUUAGACGAUGGACCUAUUUAUUAACGCAUGAUCUUUUAUAUAAGAAUCGGAAAUUCCUCUUUACUAUGAAUUAUCGAACUAGAAUACUUACAAGCUGCUAAUUGACCACUGAUUGUAUGAGCUUAGGUGUACCCGUUCCUUCAAAGAAUUGUACAUAGGAUGAGCCACUAGAAGCUGUAGCAUCAAAAUAACUUGUAAUUCGUUAAUAUUGGUAAAGAAAGACAAAAUUGUUUUUUAUGCCUCAAGAGACUCUCAUAAUGAAAAUUUACAGUUUCUAGCGACUUAUCGUGUAAUCAGGAAAUGGAAGGAAAUCGAUUAUGGAACAAUGAAGAAAACAAUCAAGGGUGUCACAGGAAGCGUCGGCGUGUUCUUUAUUACGAGUAUUUCAAUUUCUAAUAUAUAAUAUAUAUAUAUAUUUAUAUAUAUAAUAUAUAUAUAUAUAUAGCCAUAAUAAUCUGCAAUUAUUGUAAUAAAUGAUCCUCCUCUACGAUGCAAUCGGAGAGUAAAAACGCAACUUUGGACGAGAAGGGGAUGCGCAAAAGUACCGUAGUGUUACGUAAUGCUUACGUUUACGCUCGCCAGGUAAUAGUUCCAUUAUUAAUCCCAAAUAUUAUUCAUCAUCUCUCGCUUUAUCGCAACAAUAAUUCCUAUUCGUCUUCGCUCUCGGAAUGUGCACACUGAACGCGCAGAAAAGGAUUGUGAAAAGAAGAAGAAGAAAAAAAAAAAAAAGAAGUCAAUGGUGGUGGUGGUGAUGAUGAUCACGAAAGAAGUUCGAUGGUUUUUCCUGAAAUUUCCAGCCGCUUGCCUCCUUGUGUGCUUGUCUUUUGGUAAGUCAAUUUUGAAUGAAAAUAUCGAUUUAUAGAGAUUGGUGAAGAGGGACAAGCGAUCGAAUCGUUUGCAAUAAUGUGGCGGCGUGGGCGGGAAACGGAGAUUGUACGUCUAGGCUUCGGGUGACACUUGACACCUUGAAUUUCGCGGAAAUAUUUUGGUUAAAAUUGAAAUCUAAAAGAUCGAAAUCUAAUACCGUCGAAUAAUUGAAAACAACGCCAUAUGUAGAUGAGAAAUUUCCUAACGAAUUCAACGCGAUAUUCAGUGUCACGAAUUGGCAGUAAAUCGAGCAAGCUAAAAAGAAUGCCACCCCUUGAAAUUUCGUUCGAUUUUAGACACGUGUUGGCAUGGUCCAUCUCUUCCAGCGACUAACAACAAAUUGCCUACGUUAUGGCAAACGGUUCAGGUCCGAUAUAAAUAUACCAGCUGAUAACACAUCGUUAGAAGAACGCAGAAACGUGCGACAGACUCUUAUAAUAUGACAAAAUAUAAAUGGACAAACGUGUCGCUUUCAUGUUACCCAUCAACUAUCUGUUCAACAUUUUUUAUCUACUCGUUCGACCGUCAUUCUGUUUUGCAAAAUAUGAGAAAUCCGACCGAAUUCAUCUUUAUAUCAUUCGUUGUAUCGAAUCAUUUAACAGCAUCACCGAUAUUUCCUAAUCCCACGUGAUUCUCUUAUUCUGACAAAACAGUUUCUCUUCCUCUUCGUUUCUACCAUCGUUGUUCAAACGUUAGCUUCUUUUCGCCCGUAUCAUUCGUAAUAAUAUAUUAUAUAGUGUAUAUAGAUAUAUUUUUUUUUAAUAUAUAUAUAUAUAUAUAUACUUUGUAUAUAACCGUCGCAGUUUAAUAUAGUACGACCUAUCUAUGUAUAAGUAGGCAUAAAGACUGAGGCGAGAAUACAGGCGAAAUCCCGAACAGUAGUUCCUCGCGUGUUACGUUCCUUUUUCUUUUUCUUUUUCUUCCAAAAGAAAAUAAAAAAUAUAGUAAAGUCUGUCUAUAAAUGGUAUUCGCAGCGUGUAGGCAGAGUUUACUGUAUUUUCUUGUUAU
RNA transcript from Osmia lignaria (orchard mason bee), 2674 nucleotides. It is a transcript of the gene named RNA polymerase III subunit G, with no coding region annotated. Lineage: Eukaryota; Metazoa; Arthropoda; Insecta; Hymenoptera; Megachilidae. The record is from RefSeq and is a predicted model, not a curated record.